UACGUAGGGUGCGAGCGUUAAUCGGAAUUACUGGGCGUAAAGCGUGCGCAGGCGGUUCGUUGUGUCGGUGGUGAAAGCCCCGGGCUUAACCUGGGAAUGGCCAUGGAAACUGGCGAACUGGAGUGUGGCAGAGGGGGGUGGAAUUCCGCGUGUAGCAGUGAAAUGCGUAGAGAUGUGGAGGAACACCGAUGGCGAAGGCAGCCCCCUGGGUCAAGAUUGACGCUCAUGCACGAAAGCGUGGGGAGCAAACAGG
Molecule: ribosomal RNA, 253 nt
Filed under: uncultured bacterium
Lineage: Bacteria
Description: partial 16S ribosomal RNA
Rfam family: Bacterial small subunit ribosomal RNA
Source: RNAcentral